CGCGUAGGCGGUUUGUUAAGUCAGCUGUGAAAGCCCUGGGCUCAACCUGGGAACUGCAGUUGAUACUGGCCGACUAGAGUACGAGAGAGGGAGGUAGAAUUCCACGUGUAGCGGUGAAAUGCGUAGAUAUGUGGAGGAAUACCGGUGGCGAAGGCGGCCUCCUGGCUCGAUACUGACGCUGAGGUGCGAAAGCGUGGGGAGCAAACA
RNAcentral lists this ribosomal RNA (207 nucleotides) under uncultured bacterium. RNAcentral describes it as "partial 16S ribosomal RNA". It matches the Rfam family "Bacterial small subunit ribosomal RNA", at positions 568 to 774 of the family's 1533-position model. The record is from RNAcentral.